GACGAACGCUGGCGGCGUGCUUAACACAUGCAAGUCGAACGGAAAGGCCUCUUUCGGGGGGUACUCGAGUGGCGAACGGGUGAGUAACACGUGAGUAACCUGCCCUUGACUUUGGGAUAACUUCAGGAAACUGGGGCUAAUACCGGAUAGGAGCUCCUGCUGCAUGGUGGGGGUUGGAAAGUUUCGGCGGUUGGGGAUGGACUCGCGGCUUAUCAGCUUGUUGGUGGGGUAGUGGCUUACCAAGGCUUUGACGGGUAGCCGGCCUGAGAGGGUGACCGGCCACAUUGGGACUGAGAUACGGCCCAGACUCCUACGGGAGGCAGCGGUGGGGAAUAUUGCACAAUGGGUGGAAGCCUGAUGCAGCAACGCCGUGUGCGGGAUGACGGCCUUCGGGUUGUAAACCGCUUUCGCUCAUGACGAAGCUUUGUGUGACGGUAGUGGGUAAAGAAGCACCGGCUAACUACGUA
Molecule: ribosomal RNA, 467 nt
Filed under: uncultured bacterium
Lineage: Bacteria
Description: partial 16S ribosomal RNA
Rfam family: Bacterial small subunit ribosomal RNA
Source: RNAcentral